Molecule: ribosomal RNA, 1183 nt
Filed under: Klebsiella pneumoniae
Lineage: Bacteria; Pseudomonadati; Pseudomonadota; Gammaproteobacteria; Enterobacterales; Enterobacteriaceae
Description: partial 23S ribosomal RNA
Rfam family: Bacterial large subunit ribosomal RNA
Source: RNAcentral
CACUGAUCGAGUCGUCCUGCGCGGAAGAUGUAACGGGGCUAAGCCAGUCACCGAAGCUGCGGAUAUCCGUAAGGAUAUGGUAGGAGAGCGUUCUGUAAGCCUGUGAAGGUGUCUUGUAAAGGAUGCUGGAGGUAUCAGAAGUGCGAAUGCUGACAUGAGUAGCGAUAAUGCGGGUGAAAAGCCCGCACGCCGUAAGCCCAAGGUUUCCUGUUCAACGUUCAUCGGAGCAGGGUGAGUCGGCCCCUAAGGCGAGGCAGAGAUGCGUAGCUGAUGGGAAGCAGGUUAAUAUUCCUGCACCGUCGUUAGAUGCGAUGGGGGGACGGAUCGCGGAAGGUUGUCCGACUGUUGGAAUAGUCGGUUUUUGCAUCGAAGAAGGCUGUUAGGCAAAUCCGGCAGCGUAAUUCAAGGGUGUGAGACGAGCGAACUUGUUCGCGAAGCAAUCGGAAGUGGUUCCAAGAAAAGCCUCUAAGCUUCAGUCUAACGAGACCGUACCGCAAACCGACACAGGUGGGCGAGAUGAGUAUUCUAAGGCGCUUGAGAGAACUCGGGAGAAGGAACUCGGCAAAUUGGUACCGUAACUUCGGGAUAAGGUACGCCCUGGUAGCUUGACUGGCCUGCGCCAGAAGGGCAAAAGGGUUGCAAUAAAAUGGUGGCUGCGACUGUUUAAUAAAAACACAGCACUCUGCAAACACGAAAGUGGACGUAUAGGGUGUGACGCCUGCCCGGUGCUGGAAGAUUAAAUGAUGGGGUGCAAGCUCUUGAUUGAAGUCCCAGUAAACGGCGGCCGUAACUAUAACGGUCCUAAGGUAGCGAAAUUCCUUGUCGGGUAAGUUCCGACCUGCACGAAUGGCGUAACGAUGGCCACACUGUCUCCUCCCGAGACUCAGCGAAGUUGAAGUGUUUGUGAUGAUGCAAUCUACCCGCGGCUAGACGGAAAGACCCCAUGAACCUUUACUGUAGCUUUGCAUUGGACUUUGAACCAAUCUGUGUAGGAUAGGUGGGAGGCUUUGAAACCGGGACGCUAGUUUCGGUGGAGCCGUCCUUGAAAUACCACCCUGGUUUGUUUGAGGUUCUAACCUUGGUCCGUGAAUCCGGGUCGGGGACAGUGCAUGGUAGGCAGUUUGACUGGGGCGGUCUCCUCCCAAAGUGUAACGGAGGAGUUCGAAGGUACGCUAGGUACGGU